Molecule: long non-coding RNA, 1025 nt
Filed under: Zostera marina
Lineage: Eukaryota; Viridiplantae; Streptophyta; Magnoliopsida; Alismatales; Zosteraceae
Description: long non-coding RNA (ZMAR_LNC005886)
Source: RNAcentral
GAAGAUGUAGGUUAUAAGGGAAUUACUGAGUUAGUUCUAGAUAGACUAACUCCAGAUUAUAGGAUUUUAAAAUCCACCUUACAUGGUGCUAAACAACAAAAUCAAACACAAGUUGUGACUAUUCCACCACAAAUAAAGAAGAUAAACAAACCCCUUAUUCUCACCAGACCACCAUCAUCACAAGAUACUAACAUUGGGUGUCAGAUUUGUGAUAAGUUUGGUUAUUUAGCAAGGAACUGUCCAGACAAGGGUAUUUUCUCAUACUACAUCACUAAGCUUCCAGGCUGACACAACAACAAGAAGAAAUCUCUGCAAAUACUAAUUCAGUAUCGAAUCUAGACUAGUGCCUUGACUCUGGAGCCAUCGACAACAUGACUGCAAAUGAAGAAUGCUUCCAGAACUUUGAGGAUUAUUCAGGUAAUGAAAGUGUAUUUGUAGGAAGUGGUGAUAAAUUGGCAAUUGAAUAAAUAAGCAGAGUAAUCAUUCGUUUAAAUUCUAAAUCAUUUACUCUAAAUAUGGUUCUAUAUCUUCCCAAGCUUAGGAAAAAAAUGAUUUCUUUAGAUAUACAAUGCAGUUUGGAAUUUACACUUGGUGCUUUCUUUUUUAAAACAGGGAGAUUAUAUAUAUUGAAAAUAAUAUAGGAGGCAUGUUUCUUAUUCAAGCUAAAGAAUAUGGGGCUAGAGUUGAUUCUUGACUUUUGUGGCACGUCAGAUUUGGACAUCCCUUUAUGAAGACAAUGAAAAAGGUCACUGAUCUGAAAAUAUAUAUGAAUAGUUUAUAUUUCCCAUUGGGUGAAAUAAGACAAUUAAUUUUUAAAAGGGCUGUAAUAAGUUGUAAAAAGUCCAUUAGAAACAAUAAAUGUAGACGAUCUAAAAGCCCCUACUCCAUUAGAUCUACAAAAUUAGUAUUUGGAUCAAAGUUUUUUGCUACAAUUGUUGAUGAUUUUAGUAGAUAUGGUUGGAUUUUAGAAUUGACAAAUAAAUCUGUUUAUUGUUUCAAAUUUAUAAACUUUGUUUAGAUGGUUG